This is a long non-coding RNA of Ictalurus punctatus (channel catfish), 2314 nucleotides long. Lineage: Eukaryota; Metazoa; Chordata; Actinopteri; Siluriformes; Ictaluridae. The record is from Ensembl.
CAUAAUGACAAUAUUCAUGCAGUGUGUAAAAUUUAUAUGGCUCUGUAUUACGAGCUGCAUUUCCCUACUGGAAUGAUUGGUUGCUUUUUCAGUUAUCAUUAUUUAUUUUUUAAUAUUUAUGUUAAAUGAAUGAAUUUGACCAUAAAGAACAUUACCCAGGCACAGCACAGCAUAGCCUAGCCGAGCCUGAUAUCUGUCUAUGACUGGCAAGACCCUUUCUGAAGAAGGCAGGUCUGAGUUUCGCAGAGCGAUUACAGCACAAUAUCGUUGUUAAGUAUGAGAGCAUACAUCACAUCGUCAUCACACCUGCUUUGAUUAUCUUACAUUUACAAUGCUUUUUGGAAACAUGGCACAGAUCAGUAGUCUCUUGCACUUGUUUCAGUGUCAGGUUUGAGUUUCUACACCAAGUGCUAGGAUAGAUACAUUAAAUUACAGUCAAUAAGAUUUUUUUUCCCCUUUUUUUUUAUUUUUUUAUUUUUAUUUUUUUAUAUAUACACCCACUAGGUAUAAACGGUGUCCAGUAACCAAACCUUCACUACAGUGAAAUUCCACAUUGAAAUUCCCACGUAAUAGGACACACGUGGAGUUCAUCAGCCGUAUUCACUCAAUCAUAAGUCGCCAUUCAUCAUGAAGAAUUCAUAAUCACCACCAUUUCUUCUUCCCUUUGUGAAUAAGGGUAGCUAGAAUGUGUGUAUGCCAUUUGACAUGCAUAUCUGCAUCAACUCACGAUGAGAAAUGUAUUCUGUGUAUAGAACUUUGUCUUUAGUCCACUUUCUCUUUCUUUGCAUCAUUCUCCUUACCUGUGUGCCUCAUUAUAUUAUUUUCCUCAUCCCUCAGUCUCUGACCCACCUAUUCCUGCGCUUCUCCUCUAAAACAGAUAUUGUCCUCCUUCCUUCACUCUAUCCCAUAAUCCUGUUAGAGGGAUGGGCUUUGAUCUCCUGUGACUGAUCAUGUUCCUGGUGUAAAGAGAAAGAGCUAGAGAGAGAAUAAAAGCAUGAGUGUACUGAUGAUUAAAGAGAAAUAUGCAUCGGCCCUCGUGUUAGUUCCCGCACUGCCUUCAUGCACGCGCUCUCUGGGUGACUGAACGAAGUGAAUAAAAAAAGCUGGGAACAAGUACACAGCAUUAAAACAGAAGUUUAUGUGACUGGAAAGCACAGAAAUCUAUUUCAAAUUUAUAUUACAGUAUUGUGGCAUAAAACUCAUACAAUGAGUAUAUAUUAUCAUAAAAGAAUCUACAGUGAAUUUAUUACAGUUAUUUACUUUUUUUGUUCAAGACUGUGCUGUUCUCUAUCGGGUUUCAUUACUAAAGGGUUCCUCCUGGGUUCUAUGGAUUCUAUGGAUAGUUAAAGCCAUAGUCCUCAGAUUCAUCAAGGAGAGUAGGGCUAAACCUCCCUGUCUUUCAUAGAUUAAAAAAGAAAUUAAUACAAGGUUUCAUUUUUCAAGGUGGAUUUUGUUGAUUUUUUUUGUGGAACCAACUGUAAUGAAAAUAUGGUAUGUAGCCCAGACUGUAGAUGCAUGCAGCCUGUGGUGAUGGUCAAAUUAGGUGAUUACACAAAGUGAAAUUCCUUCUAUAUUCUGUGUGCAUUUGAGCUUUUUCAGUCCAUGUCACCAACACGUCUAUGCUAACAAGGUAGAUUUCUUCUAUCAUCCACCCCCCCCAAAAAAUGCCUUUGGUAUUUGAAUGAAAUAUGGCCCAUGAGGUCAUUAUUGACUUAAUAUGUAAAAGAGAUAAAAUAAAAGCGAUUUUUAUAUCAUUUUUUAUUAAGCUAUGAAUCAGUACGCUUACAUGGACAAUAAUCCAAUAUUAACCAGAUUAAGACAAUAUUCUGAUUAAUAAACUACCAUGUAAACAGCAAUUUUGUAUUACAUUAAUCCGGCUAAAGUCAUACUCGGAGUAAACACAAAUCGAAUUAAGACAUGUGGAGUAUUCCUGUUUUAGUCGCAUUAUCGACGUGCAUUACAGACAUAUGAACUGUAUGUUGAAAUUCUGGAGGAAUGUCGGACGGCGUGGCGUGGGAACGUAAUGAUGUGUGCCAUUAAUCGAUCUCUGUUCUAUAACAUGUAAAACAGCAACAUGAAAGGAAUAUUGUAAAAGUGACUCAUGUAAACACCUUAAUCAGAAUAUUGUCUUAUUCAGAAUAAGGUCAAUGAUUAGAUUAUUGCUGUCCAUGUAAACGUAGUCUGUGAGACCUCAUGAUAUACAGUGGCUUUGGAUAGUAAUCAGACUCUUCACUUUUUGCAGACUUGGAUUACAUAGACUCUUUAUUUUUUGCUGUUAAUCUACACAUAAUUAUCCAUAAUGGGGGGGGGGGGG